GACGAACGCUGGCGGCGUGCUUAACACAUGCAAGUCGAACGCUGAAGUUUGGUGCUUGCACUUGGUGGAUGAGUGGCGAACGGGUGAGUAAUACGUGAGUAACCUGCCUUUGAGUCUGGGAUAAGCCUGGGAAACUGGGUCUAAUACUGGAUACGAUAUGUCACCGCAUGGUGGUGUGUGGAAAGGGGUUUACUGGUUUUGGAUGGGCUCACGGCCUAUCAGCUUGUUGGUUGGGUAAUGGCUCACCAAGGCGACGACGGGUAGCCGGCCUGAGAGGGUGACCGGCCACACUGGGACUGAGACACGGCCCAGACUCCUACGGGAGGCAGCAGUGGGGAAUAUUGCACAAUGGGCGGAAGCCUGAUGCAGCGACGCCGCGUGAGGGAUGACGGCCUUCGGGUUGUAAACCUCUUUCAGCACGGAAGAAGCGAAAGUGACGGUACGUGCAGAAGAAGCGCCGGCUAACUACGUG
This 472-nucleotide ribosomal RNA is filed under the name uncultured bacterium. RNAcentral's name for it is "partial 16S ribosomal RNA". It matches the Rfam family "Bacterial small subunit ribosomal RNA", at positions 28 to 507 of the family's 1533-position model. The record is from RNAcentral.